Non-coding RNA from Canis lupus familiaris (dog), 103 nucleotides. The record is from Rfam. Lineage: Eukaryota; Metazoa; Chordata; Mammalia; Carnivora; Canidae.
UUGCUUCAGCAGCACAUACACUAAAAUUGAAACAACACAGAGAAGAUUAGCAUGGUCCCCGAGCAAAGAAGACAUGCAAAUUUGUGAAGCAUUCCAUGAUUUU